UGCUUCUUCUUCUGCUUGAAAUAUCCUUGCUUGAAAGUUCUUGAAUGAAAACACAGGCAAUGACGAACACAAACAUAAAUAAUAACUGUGCCAAUCAUCACAAGUACCAUUUGAUUGUGGUGUCUUAACCAUAUUUUUUCCUAUGGCGUUUGGAUAAAUACCUACACACCUCUCUUCACAUCCAGCACACUCCUGAUUCACAGAUAAACACAAUAUCACUGCUGUAUCUACCAAUUUAACCCAAACACUCGUUAUUACUGCUGUAUUUAACCAAUUUAAUCUAAACACUCGUUAUCACUGCUGUAUUUAACCAAUUUAAUCUAAACAUUAACCAAAACAAUUACAUUCCUAUUUACCACCCUUCUAUUUAAACAUGUAUAGAUAACCCAAAAUGCCUACUUUCUCU
This is a non-coding RNA of Pelobates cultripes (western spadefoot toad), 406 nucleotides long. The record is from the annotation of a GenBank genome assembly. NCBI's taxonomy places the organism in Eukaryota, Metazoa, Chordata, Amphibia, Anura, Pelobatidae.